RNAcentral lists this unclassified non-coding RNA (343 nucleotides) under soil metagenome. Its description in RNAcentral is "partial contains 5.8S ribosomal RNA, internal transcribed spacer 2, and large subunit ribosomal RNA". The stretch from base 1 to 120 matches the Rfam family "5.8S ribosomal RNA", at positions 35 to 154 of the family's 154-position model. The record is from RNAcentral.
GAUGAAGAACGCAGCGAAAUGCGAUAAGUAAUGUGAAUUGCAGAAUUCAGUGAAUCAUCGAAUCUUUGAACGCACAUUGCGCCCGCUAGUAUUCUGGCGGGCAUGCCUGUCCGAGCGUCAUUUCAACCCUCAAGCCCCCGGGCUUGGUGUUGGGGAUCGGCGAGCCUCCGCGCCCGCCGUCCCCUAAAUCUAGUGGCGGUCUCGCUGUAGCUUCCUCUGCGUAGUAGCACACCUCGCACUGGGAAACAGCGCGGCCACGCCGUUAAACCCCCAACUUCUGAACGUUUGACCUCGGAUCAGGUAGGAAUACCCGCUGAACUUAAGCAUAUGAAUAAGCGGAGGA